AGAGUUUGAUCCUGGCUCAGGACUAACGCUGGCGGCGUGCCUAACACAUGCAAGUCGAGCGGGGUAGCAAUACCCAGCGGCAGACGGGUGAGUAACACGUAGUCAACCUUCCCGAUAGUGGGGGAUAACUAGCCGAAAGGUUAGCUAAUACCGCAUACGAUCUUUUGAAGGCAUCUUUAAAAGAUGAAAGGAGCAAUCCGUUCAACGACGGGACCGCGUCCCAUUAGCUAGAUGGUGGGGUAAUGGCCUACCAUGGCAACGAUGGGUAGCUGGUUUGAGAGAGCGACCAGCCACACUGGGACUGAGAAACGGCCCAGACUCCUACGGGAGGCAGCAGUGAGGAAUUUUCCGCAAUGGGCGGAAGCCUGACGGAGCGACGCCGCGUGUGGGAAGAAGGCCUUCGGGUCGUAAACCACUGUCGAAGGGGACGAUAAUGACGGUACCCUUGGAGGAAGCCCCGGCUAACUACGUGCCAGCAGCCGCGGUAAUAC
This 491-nucleotide ribosomal RNA is filed under the name uncultured bacterium. RNAcentral describes it as "bacterial SSU rRNA". It matches the Rfam family "Bacterial small subunit ribosomal RNA", at positions 8 to 526 of the family's 1533-position model. The record is from RNAcentral.